Molecule: ribosomal RNA, 494 nt
Filed under: uncultured bacterium
Lineage: Bacteria
Description: partial 16S ribosomal RNA
Rfam family: Bacterial small subunit ribosomal RNA
Source: RNAcentral
GACGAACGCUGGCGGCGUGCUUAACACAUGCAAGUCGAACGGUGAAGCGCCUUCCUUUUUGGUGGGUGUGGAUGAGUGGCGAACGGGUGAGUAACACGUGAGUAACCUGCCCCCUUCUUCUGGAUAACCGCAUGAAAGUGUGGCUAAUACGGGAUAUUCUGGGUCUGUCGCAUGAUGGGUCUGGGAAAGAUAUUGUUUCGGUGGGGGAUGGGCUCGCGGCCUAUCAGCUUGUUGGUGGGGUGAUGGCCUACCAAGGCGGUGACGGGUAGCCGGCCUGAGAGGGUGGACGGUCACACUGGGACUGAGACACGGCCCAGACUCCUACGGGAGGCAGCAGUGGGGAAUAUUGCACAAUGGGCGCAAGCCUGAUGCAGCGACGCCGCGUGAGGGAUGGAGGCCUUCGGGUUGUGAACCUCUUUCGCCAGUGAAGCAGGCCUGCCUCGUUUGUGGGUGGGUUGACGGUAGGUGGAUAAGAAGCGCCGGCUAACUACGUG